Molecule: ribosomal RNA, 1477 nt
Filed under: Salmonella enterica
Lineage: Bacteria; Pseudomonadati; Pseudomonadota; Gammaproteobacteria; Enterobacterales; Enterobacteriaceae
Description: partial 23S ribosomal RNA
Rfam family: Bacterial large subunit ribosomal RNA
Source: RNAcentral
AGACCCGAAACCCGGUGAUCUAGCCAUGGGCAGGUUGAAGGUUGGGUAACACUAACUGGAGGACCGAACCGACUAAUGUUGAAAAAUUAGCGGAUGACCUGUGGCUGGGGGUGAAAGGCCAAUCAAACCGGGAGAUAGCUGGUUCUCCCCGAAAGCUAUUUAGGUAGCGCCUCGUGAAUUCAUCUCCGGGGGUAGAGCACUGUUUCGGCUAGGGGGCCAUCCCGGCUUACCAACCCGAUGCAAACUGCGAAUACCGGAGAAUGUUAUCACGGGAGACACACGGCGGGUGCUAACGUCCGUCGUGAAGAGGGAAACAACCCAGACCGCCAGCUAAGGUCCCAAAGUCAUGGUUAAGUGGGAAACGAUGUGGGAAGGCCCAGACAGCCAGGAUGUUGGCUUAGAAGCAGCCAUCAUUUAAAGAAAGCGUAAUAGCUCACUGGUCGAGUCGGCCUGCGCGGAAGAUGUAACGGGGCUAAACCAUGCACCGAAGCUGCGGCAGCGACGCUUAUGCGUUGUUGGGUAGGGGAGCGUUCUGUAAGCCUGCGAAGGUGGCCUGUGAGGGUUGCUGGAGGUAUCAGAAGUGCGAAUGCUGACAUAAGUAACGAUAAAGCGGGUGAAAAGCCCGCUCGCCGGAAGACCAAGGGUUCCUGUCCAACGUUAAUCGGGGCAGGGUGAGUCGACCCCUAAGGCGAGGCCGAAAGGCGUAGUCGAUGGGAAACGGGUUAAUAUUCCCGUACUUGGUGUUACUGCGAAGGGGGGACGGAGAAGGCUAUGUUGGCCGGGCGACGGUUGUCCCGGUUUAAGCGUGUAGGUGUGUGUUCCAGGUAAAUCCGGUUCACUUUAACACUGAGGCGUGACGACGAGGCACUACGGUGCUGAAGCAACAAAUGCCCUGCUUCCAGGAAAAGCCUCUAAGCAUCAGGUAACAUCAAAUCGUACCCCAAACCGACACAGGUGGUCAGGUAGAGAAUACCAAGGCGCUUGAGAGAACUCGGGUGAAGGAACUAGGCAAAAUGGUGCCGUAACUUCGGGAGAAGGCACGCUGACACGUAGGUGAAGUGAUUUACUCAUGGAGCUGAAGUCAGUCGAAGAUACCAGCUGGCUGCAACUGUUUAUUAAAAACACAGCACUGUGCAAACACGAAAGUGGACGUAUACGGUGUGACGCCUGCCCGGUGCCGGAAGGUUAAUUGAUGGGGUCAGCGCAAGCGAAGCUCCUGAUCGAAGCCCCGGUAAACGGCGGCCGUAACUAUAACGGUCCUAAGGUAGCGAAAUUCCUUGUCGGGUAAGUUCCGACCUGCACGAAUGGCGUAAUGAUGGCCAGGCUGUCUCCACCCGAGACUCAGUGAAAUUGAACUCGCUGUGAAGAUGCAGUGUACCCGCGGCAAGACGGAAAGACCCCGUGAACCUUUACUAUAGCUUGACACUGAACAUUGAGCCUUGAUGUGUAGGAUAGGUGGGAGGCUUUGAAGUGUGGA